CUCCAAUCAAAAUUAGAGGCUGUGGUGUGGUUUACUGACAGUCAAAAAGCUCUUCAUGAGCUGAAAGUAACUGGGCUGGAAAACCUUUCUGCAUCAUAUAGAGGAGGCACAAGUUAGUAGGCAAAGUUCAGAGGCAGCUGGAGUUUGCUUGCCUCCCACACAGACUCAUAACUGUAUACAUAGAGAGAGGGCAAAGCAGUCAGAUGGAGCUGCUGGGAAUAGCUCAAAAGCCGAAGGAGAUCUUCUAGUUAAAAUCACAUCUGCUGGUCCCAGCCUUGUAGUCUGAUUCACCUGGAGACCCACCUUGUGAGAGACCCACCUGGAAGGACUCUGGAGGCUUUGAAGACAUCACGGCUUGCAUUUGCAUCCUCUUCACCACCCUCAGAGCUCACUGAAGCAAAUGAGGCUCUGCAGAAAGCUGGCCCUUCUAGGUGGUGGAAGGGGCUUCCAAAUGGACCAAGGAAUCUCACACACAAGCAAACCUGUUGUAUUUUAGCAGUUCAAACUUUUAUAAAAUGUCAAACUCAUCAGUCUCCAAGUCUGGUUCAGCAGAGAAGAAAAGCACAUGCUUAGUUUCAAGGACUUAAGAAAGCAAUUUGCUCAAAGGAGAUCCCCAUGGGGCAUUAGAGCCUUUGUACAGCACUCCAGCUAGAAAUAUCUGGCCCUACUGAAGUCAGCAGCAAAGCUGCCAUUUAUUUGACUGUGACCAGAACUUCACCUCAGUCAUCUUUUUUUUUUUUUUUUUUUUUUUUUUUUGUGGAUAGCCAAUGGGUAAACAUUAAAGUUUGAAGUCACAGUAUUUAUUAUCCUGUAAACAACAUUUUGAUAAGCCAUCCCCUUGCCCUUCCCUGUUCUCAGUUGAAAGACUAACUUUCUUUUACUAUGCAGUAAAAAUAAACCUCCUGUAUCAGGUUCA
Molecule: long non-coding RNA, 916 nt
Filed under: Anas platyrhynchos platyrhynchos (common mallard)
Lineage: Eukaryota; Metazoa; Chordata; Aves; Anseriformes; Anatidae
Description: lncRNA (ENSAPLG00000030324.1)
Source: RNAcentral